UUACUUACCUGGACGGGGUUGACGGCUGAUCAAGAACUAUCGUGGCCUAGAUCAAUGGCUCAUAUUGCAUCUGGUGAGUGCGUUGAUCUACCGUCUCUCCAAAUGGGAGGGUGGACGUCUUAAUUUGUGGUACCUGGGAUACGCCUUAGCGUGGCCCUUGC
Triticum aestivum (bread wheat) is the source of this 161-nucleotide non-coding RNA. The record is from Rfam. NCBI's taxonomy places the organism in Eukaryota, Viridiplantae, Streptophyta, Magnoliopsida, Poales, Poaceae.